AGAGUUUGAUCCUGGCUCAGAUUGAACGCUGGCGGCAGGCUUAACACAUGCAAGUCGAACGAUGAAAUCUAGCUUGCUAGAUGGAUUAGUGGCGAACGGGUGAGUAAUGCUUAGGAAUCUGCCUAUUAGUGGGGGAUAACCAUCCGAAAGGAUGGCUAAUACCGCAUACGUCUUACGAGAGAAAGGGGGCUUUUAGCUCUCGCUAAUAGAUGAGCCUAAGUCGGAUUAGCUAGUUGGCGGGGUAAAGGCCUACCAAGGCGACGAUCUGUAGCUGGUCUGAGAGGAUGAUCAGCCACACUGGGACUGAGACACGGCCCAGACUCCUACGGGAGGCAGCAGUGGGGAAUAUUGGACAAUGGGCGAAAGCCUGAUCCAACCAUGCCGCGUGUGUGAAGAAGGCCUUUUGGUUGUAAAGCACUUUAAGUGGGGAGGAAAAGCUUGUGGUUAAUACCCAUUACCCCUGACGUUACCCACAGAAUAAGCACCGUCUAACUCUGUGCCAGCAGCCGCGGUAAUACAGAGGGUGCAAGCGUUAAUCGGAAUUACUGGGCGUAAAGCGAGCGUAGGUGGUUACUUAAGUCAGAUGUGAAAGCCCCGGGCUUAACCUGGGAAUUGCAUCUGAUACUGGGUGACUAGAGUAGGUGAGAGGGAAGUAGAAUUCCAGGUGUAGCGGUGAAAUGCGUAGAGAUCUGGAGGAAUACCGAUGGCGAAGGCAGCUUCCUGGCGUCAUACUGACACUGAGGUUCGAAAGCGUGGGUAGCAAACAGGAUUAGAUACCCUGGUAGUCCACGCCGUAAACGAUGUCUACCAGUCGUUGGGUCUCUUGAACACUUAGUGACCCAGUUAACGCAAUAAGUAGACCGCCUGGGGAGUACGGCCGCAAGGUUAAAACUCAAAGGAAUUGACGG
This 908-nucleotide ribosomal RNA is filed under the name uncultured bacterium. RNAcentral's name for it is "bacterial SSU rRNA". It matches the Rfam family "Bacterial small subunit ribosomal RNA", at positions 8 to 916 of the family's 1533-position model. The record is from RNAcentral.